AGUGAACGCUGGCGGUAGGCCUAACACAUGCAAGUCGAACGGCAGCACAGGAGAGCUUGCUCUCUGGGUGGCGAGUGGCGGACGGGUGAGGAAUACAUCGGAAUCUACUCUGUCGUGGGGGAUAACGUAGGGAAACUUACGCUAAUACCGCAUACGACCUACGGGUGAAAGCAGGGGACCUUCGGGCCUUGCGCGAUUGAAUGAGCCGAUGUCGGAUUAGCUAGUUGGCGGGGUAAAGGCCCACCAAGGCGACGAUCCGUAGCUGGUCUGAGAGGAUGAUCGGCCCCACUGGAACUGAGACACGGUCCAGACUCAUACGGGAGGCAGCAGUGGGGAAUAUUGGACAAUGGGCGCAAGCCUGAUCCAGCCAUACCGCGUGGGUGAAGAAGGCCUUCGGGUUGUAAAGCCCUUUUGUUGGGAAAGAAAUCCAGCUGGCUAAUACCCGGUUGGGAUGACGGUACCCAAAGAAUAAGCACCGGCUAACUUCGUGCCAGCCGCCGCAGUAA
RNAcentral lists this ribosomal RNA (506 nucleotides) under uncultured bacterium. Its description in RNAcentral is "partial 16S ribosomal RNA". It matches the Rfam family "Bacterial small subunit ribosomal RNA", at positions 29 to 523 of the family's 1533-position model. The record is from RNAcentral.